GUGAGGAAUAUUGGUCAAUGGGCGCAAGCCUGAACCAGCCAUCCCGCGUGCAGGAAGACGGCGCUAUGCGUUGUAAACUGCUUUUCCAGGGAGAGAAACUUGCGCACGUGUUGCGCAAUUGACGGUACCCUGGGAAUAAGCAUCGGCUAACUCCGUGCCAGCAGCCGCGGUAAUACGGAGGAUGCGAGCGUUAUCCGGAUUCAUUGGGUUUAAAGGGUGCGUAGACGGACUAUUAAGUCAGUGGUGAAAUCCUGCAGCUUAACUGCAGAACUGCCAUUGAUACUGAUAGCCUUGAGUUUGGUUAAGGUAGGCGGAAUGUGUAAUGUAGCGGUGAAAUGCUUAGAUAUUACACAGAACACCAAUUGCGUAGGCAGCUUACUGAGCCGACACUGACGCUGAGGCACGAAAGCGUGGGGAUCGAACAGGAUUAGAAACCCGGGUAGUCC
Molecule: ribosomal RNA, 446 nt
Filed under: uncultured bacterium
Lineage: Bacteria
Description: partial 16S ribosomal RNA
Rfam family: Bacterial small subunit ribosomal RNA
Source: RNAcentral